AGUAUAUUGGGAAACAUCUAUAUUUUCUUUUUCCUCCGAGGAUUUCUUAUCAGAUUUGCUGUAAGAUAUAUAUUUUGUAUCCUGCCACAUUAUAUUAGUCAGCACGGCAUUACCAGAACUCUACCUUCUCUAGUCUCCAGCACCCUUAAAUUUAUGAUUCAUUCAUGCCUGAGGCAAAGGCAAAGGAACUAGUUCCUUUAAAAGUGGGCCAGAAGCGUGGGGCCAGUGUGAUGCCGCUCUCCAAAUGGAGCCCUUUCUGAAAACACAGAAAGAGUGAAGGAGAUUACAGGCACAAUACUCCGCCAUGUUCUCCGUACCCAGAACUCCCAGGGGUCUGCUUGAGUCCUCACAAAAGCAUUGAUCUCUCUUUAUUGAUCGACUUUAUGUACCACUUUUCCUCCUCCUGCUCCCCUCCAUCUUUUUGUUUUCUCAGUGUCACCCUGUUUGCUCACCUUGCCAAGUAAGAACUCCAGAUCUAUUUGAAAAGGCCUUGGAGUGCCGUUCAUUUCCUUCUCAUCUGUGAAACCCUUUGAGAUUUAUGCUGUCCUACCGUGACAAUUUUUGGCCAGGGACACGACGUUGCUGUUGGACCAAUGUUUGCUGGGCACUUAGCACAUACUACACAUAAACACAGAAUUACAAUGUGACGCACAGGGCGGGUGAGAGCCGUGAGGGAACGGCGCGAGGCCGGUGACGCGAGAGUUAACGAUCUUCACCUGCGAGUCGCAUAGGCCUCACGAAGGAGCUCCGGAAGCAUAAAAGGAGGUGCGACAACAGUGAAGGACGAGAGAGGACCAGGCCUGGACUUUAUUUUAUGUUUUGUUAAGUUAGUGUGGCCAGCAGUUGUCCGUGAGGAACUGCCAGCGUUACUUUCGUUUGGUUCUUUGUUUAUUUUGAAUUAAAGUUAUGUUUGAACGUU
Long non-coding RNA from Megalobrama amblycephala (Wuchang bream), 919 nucleotides. RefSeq lists it as uncharacterized. The transcript has 2 exons. The record is from RefSeq and is a predicted model, not a curated record. Lineage: Eukaryota; Metazoa; Chordata; Actinopteri; Cypriniformes; Xenocyprididae.